CGGUGUUCAACUGGCGUGUCCGCGGGACGUCCUGCCGGUGGGCUUAGCCCGCAAGGGCGACCCAACUUCAAAUCCCAUCGCGGUGCUCUUCACUGAGUGUCGAGGUGGGCCGGCACGUUUACUUUGAACAAAUUAGAGUGCUUAAAGCAGGCUAAAACUUCGCCUGAAUACUGUGUGCAUGGAAUAAUGGAAUAGGACCUCGGUUCUAUUUUGUUGGUUUUCGGAACCCCGAGGUAAUGAUUAAUAGGAACGGAUGGGGGCAUUCGUAUUGCGACGUUAGAGGUGAAAUUCUUGGAUCGUCGCAAGACGGACAGAAGCGAAAGCAUUUGCCAAAAACGCUUUCAUUGAUCAAGAACGAAAGUUAGAGGUUCGAAGGCGAUCAGAUACCGCCCUAGUUCCAACCAUAAACGAUGCCAGCUAGCGAUCCGUCGACGUUCCUCCGAUGACUCGACGGGCAGCUUCCGGGAAACCAAAGCUUUUGGGUUCCGGGGGAAGUAUGGUUGCAAAGCUGAAACUUAAAGGAAUUGACGGAAGGGCACCACCAGGAGUGAAGCCUGCGGCUUAAUUUGACUCAACACGGGAAACCUCACCAGGCCCGGACACCGGAAGGAUUGACAGAUUGAGAGCUCUUUCUUGAUUCGGUGGGUGGUGGUGCAUGGCCGUUCUUAGUUGGUGGAGCGAUUUGUCUGGUUAAUUCCGAUAACGAACGAGACUCUAGCCUGCUAACUAGGCGUAUUUUCGACAUCUCAAAGGUCCGUCGUCCCGGCCCUCGGGUCGUGGGCGUGCGCGAUUUUUACUGUCGGCGUACUAUCAAUUCUUCUUAGAGGGACAGGUGGCUUCUAGCCGCACGAGAUUGAGCAAUAACAGGUCUGUGAUG
RNAcentral lists this ribosomal RNA (877 nucleotides) under uncultured eukaryote. RNAcentral describes it as "SSU rRNA". It matches the Rfam family "Eukaryotic small subunit ribosomal RNA", at positions 636 to 1469 of the family's 1831-position model. The record is from RNAcentral.